GACCGGACGGCUAACCUCCGCAGGUUGGCCCGGCAGCGCCCAUCUCGGCCCUGUCUUGAUCUGGCCGGGCCGCGCUGGACGGGAAGGGAUGGUGAUGAUGGAGGAAGCAAAAGACGGCGGCGGGGGCUGCCCUAGGAGGGUCCGUUAUCUUCCCUGAGCCGACUCCUGCCUCACAGAAGGUGCUCAGUAAUCGUCUGAAGAAUGAAUGAAUGGGGUCUGAUACAUCAACCAGCCAACAUACAGGAACGGGCUCCUUGGGGCAGUUUACAUCUUCAUUGUUUGGCCUGGGCACUUCUUGUUUUGAGGAACCCCUGAAGCACUUUGGCCCAGCCAGAAGGUUCCUCAGAAUGGUUUCAAAAUAACAGUCGAAGGCAAAUGGAAGUCACUGAAAGCUUUGGAAGCUUGUAACAGAAACCUGUGUACCUGAAGACAGUGGAAAACAAACAGAUGAGGCAACUUCAUGUAUCAAAUAUGAAGGAAAAGCUGAAUAAAACCCAUACUUCAUGCCAGCCAGCCCUAAGCCCUUACUUAUGAAGAACUGAGAGAAUAAUCCAAACAUUGAACAUUCACAAUGAUAAAAAUAAUGCAGAUCUUCUCUGAAGAAAUAUCAUCCGCAGACUGGAAACAAUUCAGAUAUCUCAACUGGCGAAUGGACAAACAAAAUGUGAUACAUCCAUAGGAUGAAAUGAUACUCCACAAUAAAAACGAGCUGAUAACGUCUGUCAACAUGAAUGAAUCUGAGAAUGAUUAGGCUGCAUGAAAAAAUCCAGGCACAGCACAUGCUGUACAAUCUCAUUUUAUGAAAUUCUAGAAAAGGAAGGGUACCUUUCGCAUGGGAGAUUUAUUCCUUGCUUUCUGGAGACAAAAGGAAGUCAGAAUUUCAUUUAUACAGAAGCAAAGAAGAGAAUUAUCUGUUGAAUUUUAUUGAAGAUGAGCAUUGAUUCUCCUGUAGCUACCACCUCCUGCAAACACACAUGACUUAGAGUGUAUGAGAGGAGAAAUGGACAAUACAACCAUUUGUACUGUCUACUCCCAAUUAAAAGGGGAAAAUGGGCGAGGCGUAUUGAACACACACAAAACACUUUUUUCAACCUGAAAUUUCUGUUCAUUUAUGUGCUUUGCUAUAGAUUGCUUUUCUAACUUUACUUAUGAAAAAAAUC
Molecule: long non-coding RNA, 1160 nt
Organism: Neogale vison (American mink)
Lineage: Eukaryota; Metazoa; Chordata; Mammalia; Carnivora; Mustelidae
Exons: 6
Source: RefSeq, a predicted model, not a curated record